GACAUUUUUAGACUCUGUCUUAAUGUUAAAAAAAAAAAAAAGACCAGAAUGGAUUACUGACAAGCAUAGGGGGAUGUGAGAAGCCUGUGUAAGGGUCUUGCACAAUGCAGGCAGGAGACAGUGGAUUGCAGUUAGGUGUCCAAGCAGAAAUGAACAUGAACCAGCUGAAGCAAAGUACACCCACAGACGUAUCUGGGUAUCAGGAUCCAUGGCACUUACUGACUCUGCCUGAAAAGUGAUGCAGAGGUUUGAGCAUGCUGAUGGGGAGAGUAAACAGUUGCAUCCUGAAAAAAGAUGGAGUGGGUUAAUGCCUGUGAACUAGGAGUUCAGCUGUGAGGCUGGUUCUCUGAAGUCUGGGUUGAAGGGGAACAGUAGGAACUUGCCUGUCUGUAGGUGAUAAUCGCAGAUCUGAGGUGGGGAGGGCGUGAACGCUGAGAACAGGAGGAGCCUGAGGGUGAAGGAAGGGGUCAGGAGUCAGGUUUAUGAGCUCUGAAAAGAAGUGCGUGACCAUCUCAUGUCCGUGGGAACCAAGUCAAACCUGGAGACCCAGGUACGCUCCAGACUGGUGUCUGACCAGAUCAGCUGGAAUCCUUUGAAGGAUGUUUAUGCUUCUUUAUGGAUAUCAAUGUAAUAAUGAUGCUUAGAAAUGGGUACCACAAAGUCCCAGCAGAAUUAUAGUGCGUGACAGAGAAAACAACAAUUCCAAAUGGCCUGGACUUUAUCCCUCUUUCCCUCUGUAACUAGGUAAUGUUAUUAGGUGAAAUUGUUAGAUCAGUCUCCAUGAUAGAAAGUAGGAGGCCAUACAGCCCUCUCAAAUCUGAUAGACCGUCCGGGUUAAUGGUGGAAGUUCCUUGCCGGUGUUAGGAAUUAGCGCGGUGGACACGUGGUCCUGCCCACAUGUAAGAGGAUGGAUUGGAAAAACUCCCACAGUUCCUUCCAAGCCCAGGACCUUAGGAUUUUAGGUCGGCAUAGUGUCGAUACUAAAGUAGGUCAGGUAAGAGCAACCACAGCACUAUUGUGGCUUCUGAUGGAGUGAAGGUGGGGGUAUUGAGAGAUUUCAUUCUGGAACUGUUAUUGUCCUGGGUAACUUAGAGUAUCAGAUUUUCUAAGGUGUCACUGGAAUGUGCAAAAGUCAAGAAGGAUUGGGUUAAUCUACCAAGUGACUGGGAGUAUUGUGUGUGUGUGUGUGUGUGUAUAAAAUGGGGAAUACUAUAUAUAGAUAUAUGUAUAGAUAUAUAUACAUGUAUAUCUAUACAUAUAUAUACAUGUAUAUAUGCAUGUAGAUAUAUAUAUUUUAUGUAUAUUUAACUAUACUGAGUAUAUAUAUGGAUAUAUAUAUAUAUAUAUACACACACACACACACACACAUAUAGUAUAAAUAUUUGGAAUUCCAUCUAUUGCUUUGGAAAUAUAGUAUACAUAUUGUGUAUAUAUAUUGGGAUUACUGUCUCUUGCCCUGGGAAUAUAGUAUAUAUAGUGUAUAUAAAUAUUUGGAAUUCCAUCUAUUGCAUUGGAAAUACAGUAUAUAUAUAUAGCAUACAUAUUAAGAAUAAUUAUUGCAUUGGAAAUACAGUGUGUAUAUAUAUGUAAAUAUAGUAUUAUAUAAAUAUAUGGUAUUAUGUAUGGGAAUUCCAUCUAUUGCAUUGGAAAUACAGUGUGUGUGUGUGUGUGUAGUAUAAAUAUUUGGAACUCCACCUACUGCGUUGGAAAUACAGUAUAUAUAUUGUGUAUAUAUGUUUGGAGUACCAUCUAUUGCAUUGAGAAACAAUGUAUAUAUAUAUAGUAUAUUUACGUAUACAAUAGUCCCCCCCUUGUCCGUGGGAAAUUAUGUUUCAAGAGCUAUGAAACCGUGGAUAGUACCAAACCCCAUAUGCAUUCUGUUUUUUUCUGUAUGUACGUACUUAGGACAAAGUUUGAUUUAUAAACUAGGCAAAGUAAGAGAAUAUCUGAAUUGCCAGCAUCCCCACUCUUGUGCUUGGGACCGUUACUAAGUACAGUAAGAUGACUUGGGCAAAAGCGCUGGAAUGCAGUGACCCUUGAUCUGAUAACUAAGCUGGUUGCUGAGUGACCACUAGGCAGGACCAAGGGACGAUUCACACGGGUAAGGGGGGACCACUGUAGUGAGAAAAGAUACGAAUGUAUGCUAGUAAUUUUCAGCAUAUGUCCCAUUAAGAAUUAAGUUUUAUGGAAAUCAAAUACAAUCUUCAGUUUUAUUCUGAACUGCUUUCGAGGCCAUUUCUAGGAUAAUCAUGUAAAAGAGCCCAUUUCAAUUCCAAUCCAUGGGAUCCUGCUGUGUAGCCCUGGGAAUUAUGUCUGGUCACUCGUGAUGGAGCAUGAUAAUGUGAGAAAAAAGAACGUAUAGAUAUAUGUGUGACUGGGUCACCUUGCUGUGCAGCAGAAAAUGGACAGAACACUGUCAACCAGCUAUGAU
This 2431-nucleotide long non-coding RNA is filed under the name Sus scrofa (pig). RNAcentral describes it as "lncRNA (ENSSSCG00000056420.1)". Lineage: Eukaryota; Metazoa; Chordata; Mammalia; Artiodactyla; Suidae. The record is from RNAcentral.